AUGAGAACAUCAGUCAAUUAAAAAUAACAUCAUACAGACAUUACAAGAACAUUUUUAUGAGAACGUUUUCCUUCAACAUUAUGAGAACAUCAGUCAAUUAAAAGUAACAUCAUAAAGACGUUACAAGAACGUUGUUAUGGGAACGUUUUCGCUCAAUGUUACGACAAUGUAUUUUAACUAUGAAAACAUUAUAAGACUGUUCCAGAAACAUUAUGUCAGGAACAUUUUUUUCUAACAUUUACUUAACUUUUACAUUAUGUUAGUGAAAGUUAUGGGAACGUUCCCUGUUAGCUGGGUGUUAUCCGGGCCGAGUGUGGCCCGCAGCUCGCUCUCGCGCAUGUGUUUGUGAUGCGCCUGUAAAGCACUAACCCGAUUCCUGUUCACCGUAACCGACCCGAGUCUGGCUGUAGAGUCCGGCCCACUUCUGGCAAUGACUCGGCUCGGUUCAGUCAUAGAUGGUUACAUUAAUAUAGCAAUAAAUAACAUAAAACUAUUUUAAACUUGGCUUAAGCUCUUUACAGUAUCUUAUAAUGUUAAUACGUCUAAUGUCGUGAAUUUGUUAAAAACAAAUUAUCUGCGAUACAAUGUAAAAACAAAAAAGUGCUUUAUAGGACAGAACGUUCUCUAAUAUUCAUAACAAUAUCAAAUCUAUAUAUAUGUAACACAGCAGGUCAUUCUUAUAUACGUUUGCUUGUAUGUAUUUUGAACGCGCUUCAUUGCGCGCUCACGUGUAUCUAGCGCAGGCGCUCAUAAGCUCAUAAAUGAACUCGCAAACCUUCACCUCACGUGUGAGACUGCAGCGAACGCGGCUUUGUGUGAAACCUAAGUAAAAAAAUAAAUAAAAUAAACGAUAUAGUUUUAAUUUUUGAUCUAAUUGUUGUGUGGGUCUACUCUAAAGUUUUUACUCUGCAGAAAACUGACGAGAAACCCAACCCACCAACAGACGAGGAAGAUGAAAAUCAUAGUGGUUCAGCAUAUACAAAGAAAAAAGAUGCUAAAUAUAAGCAGACUAUACAGAUGCUCAUCUCUGCGAAAACUCACGUGACUACAACGCAAACACAGCAUCACAGUUCAUGCUUCUUCAGUCAGGAUUAA
Molecule: long non-coding RNA, 1095 nt
Organism: Cyprinus carpio (common carp)
Lineage: Eukaryota; Metazoa; Chordata; Actinopteri; Cypriniformes; Cyprinidae
Source: Ensembl